AUUGAACGCUGGCGGAAUGCUUUACACAUGCAAGUCGAACGGCAGCACGGGGGCAACCCUGGUGGCGAGUGGCGAACGGGUGAGUAAUACAUCGGAACGUGCCCAGUCGUGGGGGAUAACGUAGCGAAAGUUACGCUAAUACCGCAUACGAUCUACGGAUGAAAGCGGGGGACCGUAAGGCCUCGCGCGAUUGGAGCGGCCGAUGUCAGAUUAGGUAGUUGGUGAGGUAAAGGCUCACCAAGCCGACGAUCUGUAGCUGGUCUGAGAGGACGACCAGCCACACUGGGACGGAGACACGGCCAGACUCCUACGGGAGGCAGCAGUGGGGAAUUUUGGACAAUGGACGAAAGUCUGAUCCAGCCAGUCCGCGUGCAGGAUGAAGGCCCUCGGGUUGUAAACUGCUUUUGUACGGAACGAAAAGGUCUCUCUUAAUACGGGGGGCUCAUGACGGUACCGUAAGAAUAAGCACCGGCUAACCACGUGCCAGCCGCCGCGGUAA
Molecule: ribosomal RNA, 499 nt
Filed under: uncultured bacterium
Lineage: Bacteria
Description: partial 16S ribosomal RNA
Rfam family: Bacterial small subunit ribosomal RNA
Source: RNAcentral